This 301-nucleotide ribosomal RNA is filed under the name uncultured bacterium. Its description in RNAcentral is "partial 16S ribosomal RNA". It matches the Rfam family "Bacterial small subunit ribosomal RNA", at positions 509 to 807 of the family's 1533-position model. The record is from RNAcentral.
CAGCAGCCGCGGUAAUACAGAGGGUGCAAGCGUUAAUCGGAAUUACUGGGCGUAAAGCGCGCGUAGGUGGUUCAUUAAGUUGGAUGUGAAAGCCCUGGGCUCAACCUGGGAAUGGCAGUGGAUACUGGCAAGCUAGAGUGUGUCAGAGGAUGGUGGAAUUCCAGGUGUAGCGGUGAAAUGCGUAGAGAUCGGAAGGAACAUCUGUGGCGAAGGCGACUAUCUGGGCCAACACUGACACUGAGGCACGAAAGCGUGGGGAGCAAACAGGAUUAGAUACCCCGGUAGUCCCUGUCUCUUAUAC